CAUGUCAGCGCGCUUUGCUGACGUGGACACAAAUCGUGCUUAUGUGGGCGCGAUUUGUUGCCACAUCAGCAAAGCGCGCUGACGUGG
Gossypium raimondii (Peruvian cotton) is the source of this 87-nucleotide non-coding RNA. The record is from Rfam. Lineage: Eukaryota; Viridiplantae; Streptophyta; Magnoliopsida; Malvales; Malvaceae.